GUGGGGAAUAUUGGACAAUGGGCGAAAGCCUGAUCCAGCCAUGCCGCGUGUGUGAAGAAGGUCUUCGGAUUGUAAAGCACUUUAAGUUGGGAGGAAGGGCAGUAAGUUAAUACCUUGCUGUUUUGACGUUACCAACAGAAUAAGCACCGGCUAACUUCGUGCCAGCAGCCGCGGUAAUACGAAGGGUGCAAGCGUUAAUCGGAAUUACUGGGCGUAAAGCGCGCGUAGGUGGUUCAGCAAGUUGAAGGUGAAAUCCCCGGGCUCAACCUGGGAACUGCCUCCAAAACUGCAUGACUAGAGUACGGUAGAGGGUAGUGGAAUUUCCUAUGUAGCGGUGAAAUGCGUAGAUAUAGGAAGGAACACCAGUGGCGAAGGCGACUACCUGGACUGAUACUGACACUGAGGUGCGAAAGCGUGGGGAGCAAACAGGAUUAGAAACCCUAGUAGUCC
Molecule: ribosomal RNA, 450 nt
Filed under: uncultured bacterium
Lineage: Bacteria
Description: partial 16S ribosomal RNA
Rfam family: Bacterial small subunit ribosomal RNA
Source: RNAcentral